GUUCUGCCUUCUAGGAGGAAGCCCAGGCCUCGUGGGGAGGCUUCCUGAAGCUCUGCCAGCAAGCCCAGCUUCAGCUGCAGACGUGGUAGGGACGUCACCUCCAGUGGAGUCCAGCUCCUAGUGUUAGUAUCAACCCCAACUGUAACGAUAAGGCUUUGUAUUACACCUGGCCUUCCCAGAUGGCUCAGUGGUAAAGAAUCUACCUGCCAGUGCAGAAGACACAGGAGACAUGAGUUCCAUCCCUGGGUUGGGACGAUCCCCUGGAAACGAAAUGGCAACCCACUCCAGUAUUCUUGCCUUGAAAAUCCCAUGGACAGAGGAACCUGGUGGGCUACCAGCCAUGGGGUUUCAAAGAAUCAGAUGUUAUUGAACACAGAGGUACACACACACAAUACGGGAUUCCAUGCCUUGGGCAUGGAAUUAAUUUGUUUUAAAUGCGGCAACUUUUAAUGGGGUAAUUUGUUUUAAAUGGGGCAACUUUUGGAGAAGGAAAUGGCAGCCCACUCCAGUAUUCUUGCCUGGAAUAUCCCAUGGACAGAGGAGCCUGGUAGGCUACAGUCCAUGUGGUCGCAAAGAGUUGGACAUGACUGAGUGACUUCAUUUUCACUUUUUCAUCUUUCUCUUAAAGUUUUCGCUUCUGUGUUUUAGGGGGCUGGUCACUUAUCAUUCUAUAGCCACUGUUCAUGACCAUGAGAAUGGGGAUUGAUUAGGUGUUGAAUUGUGACCCAGAACACACAUUUAAUCCUAGAGUUUUGGGUGGUCUAAAAUUCUUCAUGUAGAAAAACAAUACACUUUCACCUAACCUACAGCUGAAAACACAGUGAAUUGUUUUUUGUUACUUGUUCAGUGAAUAGCCAGGCUUUACACACAAUAACAGAUAAAUUGUUACAUGAAUUGGCAGAGAUUGAGAGAUAAGUAAGUCUGUACAUGUAGGUGCAUAUGGAGAAAAGGAAGUAAUAUAUGUAGAGAAGGAGAGAAAGAUUUACAUAAUUUGAUAAGUAUAUGUAUUUUACAGUAAGAAUAUGACAUUUUGCAAUUGAAUUUCAAUUAAUGCUUUUUAUUUCAACUGGAACGUAUUUUGAAUUAUUUGAUCUAGAAAUAUCUGGUUACUUAGAAAUUUUAGAAAUGAUAUAUAUACAGGAAUAGAAUUCAUUUUCUUGUCAACAUGUUAGCCUUGUUCCUCUUCACCCUGAGACGUUCACAAACAACUGUAUUUGGGGGGCAGGCCUUUUUCUCUCAUAUACAUUAUUUUCUUAAUCAAAGAGAAAUCUGUGAACCUAGGAUUCCUUAGUUGAGAAAAAAUAUUUACUUUGAAAAGCCCAGUUUGUCCAUAGAAACACAGUUUCUGGACAGUAGCAGUUGGACUCAUCCUGUGCAGAGUCCAGUUCACUCUGAAAGUUCUGUGAUGAAUCAUCUCCACUGUAAUGUGAUAAUGCACAUUCUGCACCAG
This 1450-nucleotide long non-coding RNA is filed under the name Bos indicus x Bos taurus (hybrid cattle). Its description in RNAcentral is "lncRNA (ENSBIXG00005014881.1)". Lineage: Eukaryota; Metazoa; Chordata; Mammalia; Artiodactyla; Bovidae. The record is from RNAcentral.